ACGUAGGGGGCAAGCGUUAUCCGGAUUUACUGGGUGUAAAGGGAGCGCAGGCGGUAUGAUAAGUCUGAUGUGAAAACCCAAGGCUCAACCAUGGGACUGCAUUGGAAACUGUCGUGCUGGAGUGUCGGAGAGGUAAGCGGAAUUCCUAGUGUAGCGGUGAAAUGCGUAGAUAUUAGGAGGAACACCAGUGGCGAAGGCGGCUUACUGGACGAUGACUGACGCUGAGGCUCGAAAGCGUGGGGAGCAAACAG
Molecule: ribosomal RNA, 251 nt
Filed under: uncultured bacterium
Lineage: Bacteria
Description: partial 16S ribosomal RNA
Rfam family: Bacterial small subunit ribosomal RNA
Source: RNAcentral